Molecule: long non-coding RNA, 214 nt
Filed under: Apteryx owenii (little spotted kiwi)
Lineage: Eukaryota; Metazoa; Chordata; Aves; Apterygiformes; Apterygidae
Description: lncRNA (ENSAOWG00000016693.1)
Source: RNAcentral
CGAAAAGGGAACAGAGGUAUUGCUGGUGCAGAUGCAAGACCAGGUGCUCCCGGUUUUCCAGGGCCUCCUGGUCUUCCCACUCCCAGCAUCAAAGGAAGCAAAGGUGUUAGAGGGGCAGAUGGCAUACCAGGGCCAACAGGCCCAAAAGGCAACAUUGGUCCUCCAGGUCCAAAAGGAAUGGAAGGUCGAUCAGGUUUUCCUGGUGCUAGAGGGG